This 72-nucleotide ribosomal RNA is filed under the name Alectoris chukar (chukar partridge). RNAcentral's name for it is "partial small subunit ribosomal RNA". The record is from RNAcentral. Lineage: Eukaryota; Metazoa; Chordata; Aves; Galliformes; Phasianidae.
AAUCGAUAAUCCACGAUUCACCCAACCAUCCUUUGCCAACACAGCCUACAUACCGCCAUCUUCAGCAAACAA